Molecule: long non-coding RNA, 1172 nt
Filed under: Pan troglodytes (chimpanzee)
Lineage: Eukaryota; Metazoa; Chordata; Mammalia; Primates; Hominidae
Description: long non-coding RNA NONPTRT008043
Source: RNAcentral
UGGGGGAAGUUUUAGAGCAGGAGUGAAAGUUUAUUAAAAAGCUUUAGAACAGGAACAAAAGGAAGGAAAGUACACUUGGAAGAGGGCCAAGCAGGUGACUUCAAAGGCAAGUGAGCGGUUUGACUUUUUGACUUUGGGUUUUAUAUGUUGGCAUACUUUUGGGGUCUUGUGUUACUUUUCCCACCUCACCCAACUCCUGAGAUCUUAUUGGGAAGCUGCUGAUCACCAGUUUCAUGUGCUUUCUAUUUAGGAGACUGUCUUUCCCUGGUGCUGGUUGUAAUCAAUUAUUACUUCAGAGAGACAGUUAACAACUGCCUGACCAUCACCUAAUGGCUGACUGACACUCCUGCUCCACACGUUUUGAGAACUGUAACAUAUCACUGGGCCAAACACCUAGAAGAUGGGAAGUGUCUGCCUAUGCCCUGCAAACAGGGCUUUAGCCCUACCACUCUCAAGAGCCUCGUGACAUAUCUCUGCAUUCAUCAUCUAGGAGAUGUGACUCCUCCCUGCUGCCUGCACUCUGCCUACAGGGAAGACCAUAACAACAUUUGGCCCAGCAACACGGUGAUGUGUUUUUUCCCAGGGCCUUGCUCACAGGGAGCAUUGUGACAUAUCACUGGAACCAGCAUCCAGGGCUGUGACUCUGUGUCUUGCUGUUAGAACAGGAUUGUAACCUAUCACUGGCCAAGCACCCAGGUGAUGUGACUUUUCUGCCUGGUGCCUGCCUUCAGGGAAAAUUGUGACAUAUGCCUGGCCUAACACCAAAGUGAUGUGGCUCUCCUGCUACCUCUAUGCACAGGUGGGAUUGUGACAUAUAUCUUCAUUCAGCUCAUAGAUGGGUUGGUGAUGCUCAGACAAAUAUUCAGCACACCUGCGAGUCUGCGACUCCAGUAAUCAUCCACGGUCUGCAGGAGAAAUUGAGGCUCUCACAAACAAAUCAAGUGCACAAUUGAGAUUGCGACUCUUGUACUCAGAUCCAACAUACAGAAUGUGUUGACUCUCAAUUUUAAAACCAGAAGAUGUGUGAGAUUAUUAAUCUGAUCUCUAAACCAUCCUGCAAGUGUGAUUGUGACACAAGUCUCUGUUCAGUACUUGAGUGAUUGGACUCCUUUGCCUGGGCCCAGUCCAAAGAUGUAAUUGUGACAUAUUGCUGAAACCAGCACAUAGGAGAU